UGGGGAAUUUUGCACAAUGGGGGAAACCCUGAUGCAGCGACGCCGCGUGAUUUAGAAGGCCUUCGGGUUGUAAAAAUCUUUUCUAUGGGAAGAAAAUGACAGUACCAUAGGAAUAAGGACCGGCUAAUUACGUGCCAGCAGCCGCGGUAAUACGUAAGGUCCGAGCGUUGUCCGGAAUCAUUGGGCGUAAAGGGUACGUAGGCGGGUAAGCAAGUUAGAAGUGAAAUCCUAUAGCUCAACUAUAGUAAGCUUUUAAAACUGCUCAUCUUGUGGUAUGGAAGGGAAAGUGGAAUUCCUAGUGUAGCGGUGAAAUGCGCAGAUAUUAGGAGGAAUACCGGUGGCGAAGGCGACUUUCUGGCCAUAACCUGACGCUGAGGUACGAAAGCGUGGGUAGCAAACAGG
This 402-nucleotide ribosomal RNA is filed under the name bacterium. Its description in RNAcentral is "partial 16S ribosomal RNA". It matches the Rfam family "Bacterial small subunit ribosomal RNA", at positions 355 to 776 of the family's 1533-position model. The record is from RNAcentral.